GCCUAGUGGUUAGAGCAGGUAGCCUAGUGGUUAGAGUCAGGUAGCCUAGUGGUUAGAGUCAGGUAGCCUAGUGGUUAGAGCAGGUAGCCUAGUGGUUAGAGUCAGGUAGCCUAGUGGUUAGAGUCAGGUAGCCUAGUGGUUAGAGUCAGGUAGCCUAGUGGUUAGAGUCAGGUAGCCUAGUGGUUAGAGUCAGGUAGCCUAGUGGUUAAAGUGUUGGGCCACUAACCGAAAUGUUUAUAGAUCAAAUCCCUGAGCUGACAAGGUAAAAAUCUGUCGUUCUCCUUCCCCUUUUUUCCUCAGAGUGAGGUGUAUAUUUAGCGUUUUGCAACAAAACCUGAUUAUUUGUCUCUGAAAUUAAACCCAUGUAGUGAUAGAUUAUAACACAUAUAAUUUAACAACUAUAACAAAAACACACCAAUCAUUUAGUGGGUUAGAAGUUGGUCUGCCUGGAUACGUUUUUUAAAUUAAACAAUAGCUAAUUUACCAAAAUGUAUAGCGUUUUGGAAUGAAACUCAUAUAAAUAUAUAAAUAUACAUUCACCCACCUGUGGUGCUGUGCACCUUGCAUAUGACUUUUCCCAUAGCUGUUUAAGUUCUUAACUGACUUGCCUAGUUUAAAUCAACUAAAUAAAGAUUAAUUAAAUAAAUAAAUGAUAAACUUGGUAAAUUAUUCUGUGAAUUUGGUGUUGAUGUCGGGCUUGGGUUCCCCCAUCUGGCGAAAAAUAGUUACUACAAGUUCCUCCAAUCAACGACUCUGUUUUCAGUGGGUCUAUGACGUUGUUCGGAUGAGAUAGUCGGAUGCGCAUGCGCAAAUCAUUUAGCGUCCUUGGAGCCACCUGAAGAGAAAGUUCAAUCAACUACUCUGUUUUUUUUUUGUUUAAAAAAAAUAAUGUUUUAUUCAUAAUACAAAAAUCAGCUUACAUUGAUUGCUACAUCAAACAUGUCUAACAAAACAAAACACAGGUAUUAACAAGAAAAUACUCAAACGUUCAAAAAAUAUCAAUAAAAUAAUACAAAAAAUAAACAAUUUUAGUUUCAUGAUUCAGGAAGAUGUUAUUCCUGUUGUUAUUCACUAGGGUUAAUGUUUUAAUAAGAUAAUUAAAUUCAAUUAGAAAAAUAUGUAAUUUUGGUAUAGAGUGUAUAUGGAAUUUUUGUUGGUGUAUGUAGUAUUUGGCAACAAGAAUAAACAAAUUAACAAUCA
Oncorhynchus keta (chum salmon) is the source of this 1200-nucleotide long non-coding RNA. RefSeq lists it as uncharacterized. The record is from RefSeq and is a predicted model, not a curated record. The transcript has 2 exons. NCBI's taxonomy places the organism in Eukaryota, Metazoa, Chordata, Actinopteri, Salmoniformes, Salmonidae.